Long non-coding RNA from Neofelis nebulosa (Clouded leopard), 844 nucleotides. RefSeq lists it as uncharacterized. The transcript is spliced from 3 exons. The record is from RefSeq and is a predicted model, not a curated record. NCBI's taxonomy places the organism in Eukaryota, Metazoa, Chordata, Mammalia, Carnivora, Felidae.
UCGUUUUCGACGGCCUGCGCGUGCGCGCCGCUGUGCACUGUGGGGCCGGCGCUGCCGAGCGGGACGCUCCUCGCCGCCUGGCGAGGUGGGGAGAGGCUAUGAGGCCUGUGGCCACCCGUCCGCCGGGGUCCUGACACCCGGGACGGCCGGCGGCGAGAGGGGCGCUCGCCGGGGUGGCCGUGCUCUCUGUUCGCCUGCUGGGCUCGCCCCCGGGCCGUGGUUCUCAGCAGUGCCCUGGACUGCGGCCUGCCCUCAACAGAUUGGAUAUAACCAUCCACAUUGGAGAGGACCACCUGCUUUAUUCAGUCUACCAAUUCAAAGACUAAUCUCUUCUGGGAACACCCUGACAGACGAAUUCAGAAAUAAUUUUUAACCAGCUACCUGGGCAUUUUGUAGCCUAGUCAAGUUGACACAUAAAAUUAACCACCUUUGCAGCCAGGGUGGUGGACUUUCAUCUUCACGUGGCUGUAAUAAGAAACUUCGGAAGCUAGAAGACAGUGGGCAGAUGCAUUCUAAGUGCUCAAAGAAAAUCUCUCAACCGACAACUCUAUAUCCAGCAAAACUGUCCUUCAGAAGUGAGGGAGAAAUCAAGACAUUACUUGAUAAAAGCUGAGGGAGUUUGUGACCACUAGACCUGCUCUGCAAGAAAUGCUUAAGGGAACCCUGCAAAAUGAAAGGACACUGGACAUUAGCCUGAAGCCAUGAGGAGAAAUAAAGAUCUCAGUAAAAAUAAACACAUGAACAGUUAUAAAAGCUAGGAUUAUUGUAAUAGCUUGUAACUGUGCUUUUUCUUUUUUAUGGAAUUUAUGAUACUAAUGCAUUUAAAUAAAAAAUGCUAAUGUAA